UACAAAUGGCAAUGGGUUUUGAUGGG
Molecule: non-coding RNA, 26 nt
Filed under: Mus musculus (house mouse)
Lineage: Eukaryota; Metazoa; Chordata; Mammalia; Rodentia; Muridae
Source: RNAcentral